UUAAAACUUUCAACAACGGAUCUCUUGGUUCUGGCAUCGAUGAAGAACGCAGCGAAAUGCGAUAAGUAAUGUGAAUUGCAGAAUUCAGUGAAUCAUCGAAUCUUUGAACGCACAUUGCGCCCUUUGGUAUUCCGAGGGGCAUGCCUGUUCGAGCGUCAUUACACCACUCAAGCACAGCUUGGUAUUGGGCCU
RNAcentral lists this ribosomal RNA (192 nucleotides) under Pleopsidium chlorophanum. RNAcentral describes it as "5.8S ribosomal RNA". The stretch from base 5 to 158 matches the Rfam family "5.8S ribosomal RNA". Rfam says of the family: 5.8S ribosomal RNA (5.8S rRNA) is a component of the large subunit of the eukaryotic ribosome. It is transcribed by RNA polymerase I as part of the 45S precursor that also contains 18S and 28S rRNA. Functionally, it is thought that 5.8S rRNA may be involved in ribosome translocation. The record is from RNAcentral. Lineage: Eukaryota; Fungi; Ascomycota; Lecanoromycetes; Acarosporales; Acarosporaceae.